GACGAACGCUGGCGGCGUGCUUAACACAUGCAAGUCGAGCGGUAAGGCCUCUUCGGGGGUACACGAGCGGCGAACGGGUGAGUAACACGUGGGUGACCUGCCCUCAGCUCUGGGAUAAGCCUGGGAAACUGGGUCUAAUACCGGAUAUGACCACAUGUUGCAUGGUGUGUGGUGGAAAGUUUUUUCGGCUGGGGAUGGGCCCGCGGCCUAUCAGCUUGUUGGUGGGGUGAUGGCCUACCAAGGCGACGACGGGUAGCCGGCCUGAGAGGGCGACCGGCCACACUGGGACUGAGACACGGCCCAGACUCCUACGGGAGGCAGCAGUGGGGAAUAUUGCGCAAUGGGCGGAAGCCUGACGCAGCGACGCCGCGUGGGGGAUGACGGCCUUCGGGUUGUAAACCGCUUUCGACCGGGACGAAGCGUAAGUGACGGUACCGGUAGAAGAAGCACCGGCCAACUACGUG
This 464-nucleotide ribosomal RNA is filed under the name uncultured bacterium. RNAcentral's name for it is "partial 16S ribosomal RNA". It matches the Rfam family "Bacterial small subunit ribosomal RNA", at positions 28 to 507 of the family's 1533-position model. The record is from RNAcentral.